AAUCAACGCUGGCGGCGUGCCUAACACAUGCAAGUCGAACGCGAAAGGGGCUUCGGCCCUGAGUAGAGUGGCAAACGGGUGAGUAACACGUGGGUGACCUGCCUCAGAGUGGGGGAUAACGUCCCGAAAGGGACGCUAAUACCGCAUAACAUCCUGCCUUUGGAAAGGCGGAGAUCAAAGCCGGGGAUCGCAAGACCUGGCGCUUGGAGAGGGGCCCGCGUCUGAUUAGCAGUUGGUAGGGUAAUGGCCUACCAAGGCAACGAUCAGUAGCCGGCCUGAGAGGGCGGACGGCCACACUGGGACUGAGACACGGCCCAGACUCCUACGGGAGGCAGCAGUGGGGAAUCUUGCGCAAUGGGCGAAAGCCUGACGCAGCGACGCCGCGUGAGGGAUGACGGCCU
RNAcentral lists this ribosomal RNA (401 nucleotides) under uncultured bacterium. RNAcentral's name for it is "bacterial SSU rRNA". It matches the Rfam family "Bacterial small subunit ribosomal RNA", at positions 29 to 417 of the family's 1533-position model. The record is from RNAcentral.